This 20-nucleotide non-coding RNA is filed under the name Neisseria meningitidis. The record is from RNAcentral. RNAcentral also lists the same sequence under 4 other names. Lineage: Bacteria; Pseudomonadati; Pseudomonadota; Betaproteobacteria; Neisseriales; Neisseriaceae.
GGCUGGAUCACCUCCUUUCU